Molecule: RNase P RNA, 354 nt
Filed under: bacterium (Candidatus Gribaldobacteria) CG_4_10_14_0_2_um_filter_36_18
Lineage: Bacteria; Candidatus Gribaldobacteria
Also listed under: 3 other names
Description: RNase P RNA component class A
Rfam family: Bacterial RNase P class A
About the family: Ribonuclease P (RNase P) is a ubiquitous endoribonuclease, found in archaea, bacteria and eukarya as well as chloroplasts and mitochondria. Its best characterised activity is the generation of mature 5'-ends of tRNAs by cleaving the 5'-leader elements of precursor-tRNAs.
Source: RNAcentral
CUAGUAAGUUAGGUAAUCGCCCCCCACCAAAUUUUGGUGGGGGGAGGAAAGUCCGAACACCAAAGAAGAUAGCGGGUAACGCCCGUCGACCGUGAGGUUAGAGGUGCGAACAGAGACGCCUUAGAACCUGAAAAGGUUCGGGUGCCCGUCCGGCCGAAAGGCGGAUUAGGGCGAGUCCCAAAGAAAACUUUGGGGGUGAAACGGCUAAAUCCUUAUCAGGUGCAAGAAGAAACUCUUUGGCCAAUCUCCGGAUUUGUCCAAAGAGAAAGGUACUUCGCUUGAGCUAAAGAGUAAUCUUUAGCCCAGAUAAAUGAUUACCCUCGACAGAAUUCGGCUUAUCGACUUGCUAGGACU